This is a long non-coding RNA of Octopus sinensis (East Asian common octopus), 517 nucleotides long. RefSeq lists it as uncharacterized. The transcript has 2 exons. NCBI's taxonomy places the organism in Eukaryota, Metazoa, Mollusca, Cephalopoda, Octopoda, Octopodidae. The record is from RefSeq and is a predicted model, not a curated record.
UCUGUUGCUACCACAACUGCACGAUAACAACAACAAAGUCAGCAUUGGAAGUCACUCUUCAAUACUAGAACAAUUGAUGACCUACUAAACAGCACAAUCACGAGCCGUCCUCAUGCUGGAAGCCCGUGUCUCUGUUUGCACCAAGCGAAAGUAUGUUCAGCACGCUUUGCUCUUUGAAGACCUGAUUCCGUACCACAAUGACACGACACCGUCUGAUGCACUGUACUGCAAUGCAUGUACACAAAAUCUUGUGCAAUGGAAAUGCUUUGGACAUCCUCUUGGAAAGCUUCAGCACCAAAAUGAGCAAAGGUCAGUCAAAUCGUAGACUCUUCCCAUGAACGAGACCCAAAGAUCGUCUGGCAUAUUGUGGUGAGAAAUCUCUUUCCGAGUGAAAUAUCGAAUUUUUGGGAGGGAUACCAUUCUGAGAACCGGGAGAAAGUGUUAAAAGAUUUGCGAAGCAAAAUAUUCAAGGAACAAAAAUUGAUCCUGAAUUUGGCGAAUCGAUCUCUCUCUCUCC